RNAcentral lists this ribosomal RNA (305 nucleotides) under uncultured bacterium. Its description in RNAcentral is "bacterial SSU rRNA". It matches the Rfam family "Bacterial small subunit ribosomal RNA", at positions 335 to 638 of the family's 1533-position model. The record is from RNAcentral.
GUGCCUAUGGGACGCAGCAGUGAGGAAUAUUGGUCAAUGGCCGGAAGGCUGAACCAGCCAAGCCGCGUGAAGGACGAAGGUGCCAAGCAUUGUAAACUUCUUUUGUCAAGGGACAAAAUCAGGCUCGAGAGCCUGACCGAGGGUACUUGAAUAAAAAGCAUCGGCUAACUCCGUGCCAGCAGCCGCGGUAAUACGGAGGAUGCGAGCGUUAUCCGGAUUUAUUGGGUUUAAAGGGUGCGUAGGCGGGCUGUUAAGUCAGCGGUAAAAGCCCGGGGCUCAACUCCGGCGAGCCGUUGAAACGGGCG